RNAcentral lists this long non-coding RNA (2458 nucleotides) under Nicotiana tabacum (common tobacco). RNAcentral's name for it is "long non-coding RNA (NTAB_LNC005635)". The record is from RNAcentral. Lineage: Eukaryota; Viridiplantae; Streptophyta; Magnoliopsida; Solanales; Solanaceae.
CCUCUCACUUCACCUUCUCUGCAGAAACCCUAGAGACGCCGCCUUGAAACCCUCUGUCGGCGGAGACGCCUCAGACCAUCCCAAACACCACCAAUUUAACACCCUAGAUUCCCCGUCACCACCUCUUUUAUAAUAUCCAAACCGAUUCCCUCAAAUCCCCGCAUAGGUGUUCGAAUCUUAGAUCUAAACUCUGACCCCAAAAACCCGAAUUCAACCAAACCACCCCAAAACUAUACCCCACACUCUUCACACUCCUCUGAAACCUAAACUACCAUCACCUUCCCAAAAAACCCCACCCGUUUGUCCCAAUUUGGAAUCUGGUUCCAAGAAGAAAUUGAAAACCCUAUUUUGCUUCCCUUCUGAGUUCAAGAGGAUUUGAGGAUUGAUUUGGGGUCAAAAUUUAUGCCAGAUGAUUGUUCUUAUCAAGAGCAAUUGAUUAGUACCAAUUCUGGCACAUUUCAAAGUUCACCAAAGUUCACAUAUCAUCAAGAACCGGCAAACUUUGUUCAUACAUGCAAUAGGUAUUUAUUUUCAUUUCCUCUUCCCAUUUUUAUCCUUCUUCUCUUCGUCACCUUUUCUCUUCUACAUCACUUUGGUUUCCCCUCAUUUUUUCUGUUUCUUUGAUCAACAAAUGAAGCUUUAGGUUUUAGAUUUUGUUCUAUUCGUAUGUUUAAUCAGUAGUGUUAAGGCUCAUUAGUGUAGGCAUCUUCAUCAAAGUUCAAGUGUUCCAUUUCUUUGGCUGGGUUUUGUUUUUGUUUAAUUACAUGACUUAGAUUUCGGAUUUUAAGUUUGUUAAUUAGUUUUUUUGCUUAAUCUUUAAUAAUAGUCAGUUAGUUUAGGGGUAAUGUUUGAGUUUGCCAUAAGGUCAUUAGGGUUCCAGUUUUCAAUUUGGGUUUAUUUUGUGUUUAAUGCAAUUGAAAUCAGCAUGUUAGUAUCAUUUGAUUCCCUGUUAAUUGGCUGGUUUAAUUGCUUCAAAGGUUGAAAUAGGGCAUUCAUUGGUUGUUUCUUCCUAAAUGUCAGUUUCAAUUGCUCAAUUGUUGGUUAAUUUCUUAUUUCAUUUCAUGUUAAGUCUAUUUAGGUUUUAGAAAUUGACACCAUUUGAUUAUGUUUGCCUAUGGUUUCUGUUAGAAGAUUGUUUGCCUUGGUUUGUAAAUGCAUAGGACUUUUAGAGGGUUAAUUGAAUAACUAGGAACUUAAGGGGGUAAUUUGGGGAUUGUUAACCUGAGAGAAUAUUUAGUAACUGAUUGGAAAGCUUCUUAAAAUGUACAGGUGCCCAAAAUUGUUAGCAUAAGAGGCUAAAAAAUGAAAAUAUCUGAAAGGAAAGGGGCAGCUGUACAUAAGUCAGUUUUAAAAGAUGCCCUAUGAGAGGUAUUGGAAAAAGAACCUAUUUCCUUGACUUGGAAGGCACACAACAGAUUUCUGUUGUAUAAAUAAGGCUUUCCCCUCACUCUUCAUAUACGAAAAACAGACCUGAAAAUCUUUUCAAAAAAAAUCUCUCAAAUAGGAGGCUUUUCUCUUAUUCUGGGUGAAAAGAAAAAAAAAGAAAGAAAGAAAAAACUGAACAAUCUUGUUGGUAUUUCUGGGUUUUUGGAGUUCUUAUUACUUGAGGCUGAAGCUGUUUGCUGACUAUUUGCUUCCUUGCUCUCUAUUUGUCGAAGUAGCUGUGUUUUAUUUGAUAUUUUGGAGCAGAAUUUCAGGCACUAAGGUACACAUCAUGGCCUUAUGCCAAAAUACUUUUAAUCUUGACCUCACAUGAAUGCUAGAAGUGUUGUUUGAAUGAUAGAGUGUAUAUCUAUGUUGAUUCUUGUUUCAUAUGCUUGAAAACAUGCUUUUCUUGUGCUUCAAAUACCUUAGUUGAUAUCUGUUAGGCUUGAGCUCUAAGUACACUGUUUUUUAUCAUUCAUGUCUAACAUUUUGCUUUAUGGUUUGAGUUGUGAGUAUUGGCCAGGGGUCAGCAUGUGUGAAGUAUGGCUCUUGUUGGAUUUGAUCUCAACAUAAUCAGAUCCAUGAGAGUUAGAAGCUGAAAUUGAUAUUAUUCCUAUGUGGGAAGAGCUGGCAGCUUAUGGAGGAUUACAAUCUAAAUGUAGAUUUGGUUUUAGUGGUGUUGAGUAAUUUUGUUUGUUAUUUCAUAGGACAAGGCUUAUUAAUCUCCAUUUACUAGUUAUUUGUUCUUUAAUGAUUCAAAAUUUUGUUAAAAUAGUACUGAGCUUACAUGUAAAUUAAUGUUAUGUGUAUAAAAAGUCGUAAGGGUCAGAGGUGAAUGCUUCAGUUAGUUUAUUUGGUGUUUAAACAUGCUGGUAAUACCAAAUGAGUUGUAUAAUGAUUUAGGUACUGUUGACUUUUCCAGAUUUUGCCUCUAUGUUGUUUUGCCAUGUUUGGGCCUAAUGCCAGGCCCAAGAAUAUUCACCCCAUCCCUUUUUCUUUUCCUUGCACUUUUUGUUUAAUGGAUUGGUUUGGC